RNAcentral lists this ribosomal RNA (155 nucleotides) under Solanum tuberosum (potato). Its description in RNAcentral is "rRNA 5_8S_rRNA". It matches the Rfam family "5.8S ribosomal RNA". From Rfam's summary of the family: 5.8S ribosomal RNA (5.8S rRNA) is a component of the large subunit of the eukaryotic ribosome. It is transcribed by RNA polymerase I as part of the 45S precursor that also contains 18S and 28S rRNA. The record is from Rfam by way of RNAcentral. Lineage: Eukaryota; Viridiplantae; Streptophyta; Magnoliopsida; Solanales; Solanaceae.
GACUCUCAACAACAAAAAUCUCAACUCUUGAAUCGAUGAAGAACGUAGCGAAAUGCGAACCUUGUGUGAAUUGCAGAAUCUCGUGAACUAUCGAGUCUUUGAUUGCAAGUUGUGCUUAGAGCCAUUAGGCCGAGGGCACGUUUGUCUAGGUUUCA